CAGUCGCCGCGGGAAUACGUAGGGUGCGAGCGUCAAUCGGAAUUACUGGGCGUAAAGCGUGCGUAGGCGGUGAGUUAAGUCUGCUGUGAAAUCCCCGGGCUCAACCUGGGAAUGGCAAUGGAUACUGGCAAGCUAGAGUGUGUCAGAGGAUGGUGGAAUUCCCGGUGUAGCGGUGAAAUGCGUAGAGAUCGGGAGGAACAUCAGUGGCGAAGGCGGCCAUCUGGGACAACACUGACGCUAAGGCACGAAAGCGUGGGGAGCAAACAGGAUUAGAUACCCGGGUAGUCCCUGUCUCUUAUAC
This 301-nucleotide ribosomal RNA is filed under the name uncultured bacterium. RNAcentral describes it as "partial 16S ribosomal RNA". It matches the Rfam family "Bacterial small subunit ribosomal RNA", at positions 509 to 807 of the family's 1533-position model. The record is from RNAcentral.